Molecule: long non-coding RNA, 92 nt
Filed under: Mus spicilegus (steppe mouse)
Lineage: Eukaryota; Metazoa; Chordata; Mammalia; Rodentia; Muridae
Description: lncRNA (ENSMSIG00000016309.1)
Source: RNAcentral
GUAGCAGAACGGACUGGCUUGAUGGGCCUGCCAUCAGAUUUUCUUUUCUGAAAUCACUUGGCCUUGGACUCUGCUUUCUUGAAAAUAGCUGA